UCCCUGUCGUAGCUCAAAUUUAUUGAGGUUCGUGAUAGGACCACGCAGAGAAAUGUUGGUUGGCUUAGCUGUACUGAUGUUGGUGACGAGUGAAUGCAACGCGCAGUACUACGAGAACGAACCCGUCUGGGUCGCACAACACAGCCGUUCGUCUUGUUGGCUAACGUCGUGGCUAAGUCUGGACAGCGAAUUAAAAUGUGCUCAGUGGUGCUCAAAACGACGCUGCGCGGCGGUGACAUUUUACGACAAAUGGCGCUUGUGCGAGGUUAGCAACCGUCAAGUGAGCUCGGUGAGCACAGCGCAGCCAAGUCACUUCUACCGACGUGGUGCCGCUCUCGUCCGCAAAAACGUCGCUCUCAUGAAACCUGUUCGCGCCUCAUCCGUCUAUAGCAUUUAUGCACCGGAUCGUGUCACCAACGGUAAAAUUGACAAGUACGAUUUUUUUCAUUCGGGUACAGUUGACCCAAAUAAUCCCUUCGUCGUGACAGAUCUCGGGCAGGAAAUGUCGAUCCAAACCGUACGGAUUAUAUGACACGCACCGACAUCCUUGCGCCCUCGAGAUUCCUCAACAUCUCUAUCCGAGGAGGGACCGUUGCAGUGCCGGGUCCGGACUUCAGUUCGUACAAGGAGCUUGCGUUCUACGCCGGGCCUCCGACUUCGCUCGGGAUGUGGUUCACGUCCGACUUGAGUACACCGAUUUGUGUGCGUUAUGUUUCGGUGCAACGAACUGCUACUGCCGGGGAGAAACUUUUGGAGAUAGCUGAACUUGAGAUGUAUGGACCAAAAUAGGUUUUUUCAAGAAUCCCUGCUAAUGAAGGAAAUGU
This is a long non-coding RNA of Hyalella azteca, 824 nucleotides long. RefSeq lists it as uncharacterized. The record is from RefSeq and is a predicted model, not a curated record. Lineage: Eukaryota; Metazoa; Arthropoda; Malacostraca; Amphipoda; Hyalellidae. The transcript is spliced from 4 exons.